ACAUGGCAGCUACAGUAGCAGAGUUGUUGUGGCUAACAACUCACGUGUUGGCACUACCUUCCCACACACAGACAUGGAGCUACAUUAGCAUCUAUUUGAGUCUCUGUCUGACUGACGUUACCUGACAAACGGAACUCGGCAGCCACGGUUUAUCUUGACAAAUGCCAGCUGCAGAGGGUCACUUUAAAGAACUGGCCUUCAGGGGCUUUCCUGCUUUUAGGAGUCAAUGUAAUGCAGCCGCUCUGACAGAGCGAAGCAACACCCCACUGGCCUUGAAGAAAGCAACCAGGAAAGGCUGCUUGGACUGAGGCCCAUUCCUCCCAAUGAUUCCACCAGAUUUCAUGUUGAUGCUUCGCCCUGUAAAAAAAACAGAAGUCUCCACACAGAGCUGCAGGCCCAGGUUCUGCUGUGGGUUCAUCAACCAGUGGUUACUGGUGGCCGUGAUGUCAAACACGAGCCAGCCCCCAUCGGAUGCCUGUACCCUUUUGGAGUCAAGCAAGAAUGUCUCUGCAUCUCUGAAGGUAAUAAAAAACAAUGAAACAAACAUCUGCGAUUAAUAGACUCACAGUUCAAAUGAUGCUCACUCAAACAGCCAGUACAAACAUGCAAGCAGCAACUGUUAUUUCACAAGGAUCAACAACAAAAAAUUUUAAAUAGAUAAGCUGUGAGUAUGUUACUUAUUAAGAUGAUCCUGCUUUUUACAGUGCCAGUAAGAUGAUUGUGUCACUUUACUGCUGCAUUAUAAAGAAAUUACUAAACCUCAGUGCCUGUUACAGUGUAUUGAACUCUAAAACAAAUAAAACCUUGUUGUGGACAUUCAUGUUGCAAG
Molecule: long non-coding RNA, 829 nt
Organism: Notothenia coriiceps (black rockcod)
Lineage: Eukaryota; Metazoa; Chordata; Actinopteri; Perciformes; Nototheniidae
Exons: 4
Source: RefSeq, a predicted model, not a curated record